Molecule: regulatory RNA element, 171 nt
Rfam family: glmS glucosamine-6-phosphate activated ribozyme aptamer
About the family: This entry contains a glucosamine-6-phosphate activated ribozyme that is found in the mRNA for GlmS.
Source: Rfam
UCGGUUCAUAAAGCGCCAGGACUAUUUUGCCGAACGGUGGGAAAAUAGUUGACGAGGUUGGAGGUUAUCGAGUAUUCGGCGGGUGCCUCCCGAUUGUACAUCUCAAUUGUUAUGCUGUUUCUUAAAACAACAAGGCAACUUGUUGGCCAAAGGAAAUGAGCAAGAUGAUUA